CUGACCUCAGGGUACAGGGCUCUGGAUGAAAGGGGAUCAGGAAGAAUGUUUUGGGAUUGUGUAGGAACUGAUUAUGAGAUUUUUUAAAAGGAGUGUGGGAAUGUGUUAGGGACUGUUAGGGGGAGUUUAGUGGAACGAUCGGUGAUAGAGGAAGAGAUUAAUCAAGGUGGAUUUCAGUGUAGGAAGGAGUCUAGGCAUAGAAAGCUGGUUGAGUAUAACGGUCAGCAGCUUGUCUGACUGAGCUGUGUUUGAUCACCACAGCUGAUCCCUGUUGUGCUUAAAUCUGAUUUCUGAACACCUUCAGUGUGUCUGGCUCUCUGCUUCACAGCUGUAGGUGUGCCAACAGCUAGGAGCUCUAGGGGUUUCUGGGGGCUGCUGCUGGACAGGCUGCAGGUCUGGUGCCAACAGUGAGUGUGGUCUGUAUGGAAUAAGGCUGUAUUGUACUAGCAGGAGGGGAGGAGCAGGAUUAGGCCACCCGGGCUAUUCAUCUGAGUGCUGUGUGCAUGCAGCUGGAACUGAGCACGGAGGGAAGUGCCAGGGUUUCCCCUCUGCAAAGCUUCUCUGCCUCCUGGCCGUUGGCCCGUGGCUCCCUCCCGGCAGCACUCCUCACUCUCCUCACCCAAGGCCGGGUGUCCCAUCACCCCUGGGAGCUCCAGGGGCUUCUCACUCUGCUUCACGCAGCCCGCCAACGCCUUCUGCCUCUUCCUGCAGGGGAACGGCACCACCUAGUGCUGCUUGCCUGCUGCAGCUCGCGAGGGUUCGUGCUGACAGCAGCUGGGCUAGGGCAGACCAGCACGGGCAUAAGAAUCUUAGAUGUGGAUUUAUUGAAGGCGUGGUCACGGGUGACCCACAGGGAAAGUGGUAAACAGGGACAACACCACCACUUGUCUCACAUUGAUGCCAACUGUCUUUAUGCUGAAUUGAUGAAACAGCUGAAAGAAGAGAGUCUAAUUGAGCCCUGAGUGCUGCUGCCAGAUUGCUCACCACGGCUGUUUCCAGCAUAAUUGAUAUAGGCAAUCAUUGUUUAAUGAACUUCACGUACGAAUUUCAGUGGAUGAAAACUCUCGAUAUGGAAGCACAGGAGGCAGACAGGAGGGCGCUUGCUUCCAUCUGGCGAGGGCUCCGGCGUGUAUUUACUCGUGUCUCACAAGGCUUAUCACAGCCUACCUCUCUGUCCACGCUGCGUCGGCCGAAGAGCUGGAAACAUUAAUAUUACCACCAGAGGUCACUGUGGGGCAACGCAUCAGUGGUGCCUUCAGAGGCGGCCGAUAGGCAGAACGUGUGAACCGGGCUGUGAGCACUUGUCAUUACACUCCUGCGGUUCGGUAAAACCGGUAAGAAACAAAACAAAACCACCAAAACCAAACAACCGAGGAUUCAGUGAGGAAUUAAUCUUCUGGGGAGACAGUGGCAGGUGGGAGAAGAAUUGUCCCUGCUGAGGUACUACCUGAUGGUUACACGUGCUUCAGAAUAAGAGGAGCUAUGCGCUGUGCUGGAGACUUUAGGAUCUUGGAGAGUAUCUGUUCCAGGAAUUAUUAUAAUAGGUUGUCCAUCCUAUAACUUACUAUAGAAAACAAGAGCCUGAAUCCUGCAGCAUCACUGGGAGAAAUCAAUGAGUGAUAGAAGCAUGUGGUUCCCUGCUGCAGUAUACAGUGGUGUCCAUCUUCCCUCCUCUAGGGAGGCUUGCACCUUGCUCAGCCUGGGGUGCUAGGAAGAGUCUGUUCAGGCUUCUCUGACCCUUGAUCUAUUACUCUGUACAGUAUAUAUGUCCUGUGCACAUAUGUUUGUGAGGGGGGCCUCUACUAGGAGUACGAUGGCCUGGCUGGAACAGGGAACACAGAGAUGUGGCAGUGUUGCCUCCAUCAGACAACUGACUUCAGCACCAUGACAAUUUGGACUGCAGGGUGGCAGAACCCCAAGGUACAAAACAUGACCGGGUGGAGGCAGCUGCCUUUGAGUCAGUGCAGCACAAGUCUGCAGGAGAAAGCCCACCCAGAAGCAACAGACUUGAUCUUCUGAAAGGUAUGCAGGUGGAGCAUCCAUUUCUCAUGAGGAAGAAAUACUGAAUAAAGAACUAGAGCUCCAGCAGUGAAGAACAGCAAAACAUGCUGCCUUUACGGUCUGCAGCAAGUUAUGCCACUGUAGAAAUUAAACCAAGACACAUGUUGUUGAUUUCUGAAGUGCCAAAAGAAGGACAAGGUCAGAGCUGGUCUCUGAAUACAUCAUCCCAAUGGCAUUUCAAUGGAAAUGCAAAUUUAGGAAUUUGGGAUUAGGAACAAAAAAUUUCAGAAAAUAGACACAGACCCAGAAGAAUUAAAGGAAAGGAGUUGGGCAGAUCCCGUAUGUUGUAGACCAAUACACAGAUCAGCAAGCACACACAGAGAAAGAAGAAUAUUACCUGUCAGUGGAAGGUGAGAAAACAAACAUGGGAGGAUGAUAUUUGCCAAGAAGGUAGAUCUUGUGAUAGUCCACAGAAUCAGAACUCAGUGGCUCUGGAGGCCUUAAAUGCUGACACCAAGAAAUGCCCCCCUGUUUAUCCCACUGGACAUUGAAGAAUAAUUUUGCCACUCAGCUGGUAAGUUUUAAAGACAAACUGAAGAACUGCCUUAUACACUGCUCGCAAGCUGGUGCUUCUGCAAAACUGCCUGCUUUGUUUCAGUCAGAGCAAUCCAUAGCCCUCAGUCCUAACCCAGUGACAGCUUAAUGCGUAGAGUGUCACUCCUGCAAAUGACCUCUCUCCCUUACGUUGAGUAGCUGAGAUGUCAGUGCUAAGAGCCAGUGGUACUGUAACCCUAUUACUUGGUCCUCAGAGCCACAUUUGAUUGUGUUCUUUGGCAGCAACAGGAAAUAAAUGCACUCAUUUCGGUGUCACCACUGAGGUAUAGCAGCACAACUAAGUUACAUGCCAGAGCAAAUAAAUCCACUUGGCAGCAGCAGCUGCACUUGUUUUCUCUCACCAUGCAAAACCUCAGAUGGUGUAAGCACUCCAGAGGAGAGCAGACAUGUCCCACUCUCUCUCUGGGACAUCAGAAGGAGCACAACGAUUCAGGUGAUACUGCAACACUGAGUGACUUCCUCGUGCAUUUUAACCCUUCCACAUCAGGAAUUUGUGCUGAGACACAAAUACAAGUCUUGAGAACUUCUACUUUCUGUCGGAUGAGUUCCUUUUGGGGCAGAAAGCGACUCCUUUAGGAAGCUCUCUAGCAGCAGGAUCCACCUCACAGUUCCUGAAGGACCGAGCAAUACGAACAUCAUCUUCGACUUGUAUGUCUCUCUGGGGGCAUCCUGGACCUUCUGCUUCCCAGCUGUGGGGGUGAGGAGAAGCAGCAGCCCCCAGAGGAGAGUGUGACACAUCCACCCUAUGGCAUUAUCACAGAAACCUCUGACACGUCACACGCUUCUAGAAAUGCAAACCACCCUGCUGUUAUUUCUAUGCCCUACGUGUUCCCGCCAUCUUUAGAGGAAACAGCGACCAGAAAGCAAACCAAGCAAUGGAAGUAAACCAAAAGCAAAGAACAACCACCGCCACGCUUAAACAAAACAAACAAAAACCCACACGAAAAGAAAAACAACAAAACCAAACCACCCCAAACAGGAAGGGCGGUGUCCUCAAGAUGUACGGUGGCAGUUUUACGGUUUGGCUGACUGCUUCCUGAGCGGCUGAGCCCUCGGGACUGCCCCGCUGUUGCUGUUUCGGCACGCUGCUGCUCCCCGUUCCGCCCUGCGCGCCGGUGAAGGGCAGCCCCGCUCUCUGUCGCUUCUCACGCUGCGGCCAGUCGGUCGGCUCCGGUCAGCCGUAAG
Molecule: long non-coding RNA, 3801 nt
Organism: Gallus gallus (chicken)
Lineage: Eukaryota; Metazoa; Chordata; Aves; Galliformes; Phasianidae
Source: Ensembl